UUAUAGCAUUAAGGUUGGAUGAAGCUGUAUGGAAGCAACUUCUUCAUUCUGAGCAGAGUUUGUAAAUACCAGAUUAGUAAGGCUUUCCUUGACAUCAAAAUCAUUGAUCAGUCUUAAAGUCAACUGUAAAGUAUCUGAAUGUACAUAGUAUGCAACAGCUGUGUUUCAGUUCAUCUAGGUAUGGAGUUUUUCAUAUGUGCCAGAGGUGAAUCUGCUCCUAACAGUGAAGGGGAAAAAGCAUGCUAAAAUUACAGCUGUGGUUUUGUGAGAGCUCUAGCCUGAGACUGCCAGUAUCUGGUUUGGAAUCCUUCAGUUUCCUGGAGUUACUCCAUUUCUGCUGUAUUUUCUUGUUUGUUCGUUGUUCUGUUGAAUAAGUCUUAUGUACCUAAAUUUUUUUUUUUUGAUUGUGAUCAGGAGAAAGAAUGCCUCUUCCGGGAACAGGAAAGAAUAUUGCUAUCAUGGCAUUUGUGGUCCAGUACUUGCAUUGCAAGGUGCUGUGGAGAAUGAAGAUUCAGACCAAGACAGGGUCCUCAGUCUCUUACUAGAAAGAGGACCUCCUGCAUCUUGUUGAAAUGUCAUCAUCACAGGCUAAAAGGUCAUGUUCUCUAGUUUUGUGAGAAGGUUUGUUUUGGGACUCUGGGAGAACACAGCUCAGUUAUAACUGAGUGAGUAUUUUUCAGAAAUUAUACCCUGAAGAUGUGGUGUUGGGUCUCAUCCUUUUGUGUUGCAAUUUCUUCUGAACAAUUUAAAAUCCUAGAAGGGACUGGUGUUCUCAUAGUCUGACAUCCCACUCAAAGCAGGGCUAUUGUUGGAGCUAGAUGAGAUCACUUGGGGCCUUGUUGAGUUUUGAAUAACUCCAGAAAUGGAGAUUCAGAUGCUCUGGGUAGCCUGUUUCAAUACUUACUCUGUUAUGAAAACUUUCCUAAUAACCAUUUCCCAUGCUGCAACGUCUGUCCAUUGCCAUUUGUCCUUUCUCUCUGUAUCUCCAAGAUGAGUGACUUUCUCUAUAAUUACUAAUCAGGUAAGUGAAGAUAAGUUAGCUCCCCAUGGAUUUCUUUAAAUGUUGUCUCAUAAGCGGUUCUAAAAAUCUUCUGUGUAGCUUUAGGCAUCAAAACACCUAUGAAAUUCUGCACAAGACUGUGCUCUCCAAGUAAUAUUACUAAAAGGACUCUCUGUUCUCUUAUGAGCUAUAGUAACAGCUAUAGUCAUGUUUCUGUGCCAUCUCUAAAUUUAGCUCUACCUGUAAGUUUUGUCUGAGAAGAAGAGAUGAUGGGAAUAUACUGCCUUCAUGAAGAACAUCUCUGUGAUUAAUAUCUGAGAGAGCAUGUUACUUCAGAGUUCUUGUUUGGCUUUAGAUUCCUUAUUUGUAGUUUCAGUUUUAUAGAGCUAUUCUUUCAAAUUUAAGGAUAUUGGGCUUUUUUGGAUGCAGACUUUGGCAGUGCAUUUAUACAUCCAAUUGUUUUUGCUCUCUCUUAAUUAGACACUGUAGAUUUCUUGAUAUAAAGUGCCAUCUGUUGAAAAUUAUAAGUAUUGUACAUUCAAUGUUUGGCUUCUUUUCUACCUUCCAUCCACAUACAAUCUUUUAAAGGCUGCCAUCAGUCUGAAAUAUUGAGUAAUCCGAAAAUACUGAUUAAAAACAUCUUCUAGACACUGACAUCUCAAAGGUGCUUUUGAAAUUUUGGUUAAAAGCAAAAAAAAAAUUUUUUGCUAAACUUUUAGUCUUUGUUUUCAACAGUUUGUUGAAAAAAGUGUAUGCAAAGGUUCAAAAUGGGUUUACUCUUUUGCAAAGGUGUUUUUCACAUGAUGAAUGAUGUUUUGUAUGUAAAGGACAGUAAACCAAAUUAUUUAUUCAGAGCCUUGGAUCUCUCAUUCAUUCCCACUUCAAACUGACUACUUCAGAUUUGACUUUGGCUGUAAAUUUUAAACUUUGAUGUAAAUAGAUUACUUUCCCUAAAUAAGUAAUUUAAAGCAAAAUAAUUCUCUGCAGUACAAAAUUUAAUGUCGGAUGCUUCUGAAAAUGGG
Molecule: long non-coding RNA, 2022 nt
Filed under: Strigops habroptila (Kakapo)
Lineage: Eukaryota; Metazoa; Chordata; Aves; Psittaciformes; Psittacidae
Description: lncRNA (ENSSHBG00005019741.1)
Source: RNAcentral